RNAcentral lists this ribosomal RNA (253 nucleotides) under uncultured bacterium. Its description in RNAcentral is "partial 16S ribosomal RNA". It matches the Rfam family "Bacterial small subunit ribosomal RNA", at positions 524 to 776 of the family's 1533-position model. The record is from RNAcentral.
UACGUAGGGGGCAAGCGUUGUCCGGAUUUAUUGGGCGUAAAGAGCGUGUAGGCGGCCAUACAGGUCCGUUGUGAAAACUCGAGGCUUAACCUCGAGACGUCGAUGGAAACCGUAUGGCUAGAGUCCGGAAGAGGAGAGUGGAAUUCCUGGUGUAGCGGUGAAAUGCGCAGAUAUCAGGAAGAACACCCGUGGCGAAGGCGGCUCUCUAGUACGGUACUGACGCUGAGACGCGAAAGCGUGGGGAGCGAACAGG